AUCAGCCUUUUGGGCAUGAUUCUGUGGAGCGUGAGGAGUUAAACGCCUUCAUGCCUGCAUAUUCGUGUACUUUGGGCGUACUUGCCUGUGUGGUUAGUUAACAUCAAUUUUGGUUAUCAUAAAAUGGUUGGAGGAAUGUAGCUUCGAUUUCGAUUGAAGUGUUAUAGCCUUCGGCAGAUGUGAUGAUCGGGAUUGAGGAUUGCAACGGAUACCCUUCGGGGCUACCUGUCUGGUCUCUGAUCGUUGCUUUGGUGCCGAAAGCGUGCUUACGGUUAUCAAGGUCGAUGGUUAAUAGGUUAGAACGGGUUAAAUUCGUUAAGGAUGUUGACGUAAUGGCUUU
This 340-nucleotide ribosomal RNA is filed under the name uncultured Glomeromycotina. RNAcentral describes it as "eukaryotic LSU rRNA". The record is from RNAcentral. Lineage: Eukaryota; Fungi; Glomeromycota.